This 517-nucleotide ribosomal RNA is filed under the name uncultured bacterium. RNAcentral describes it as "bacterial SSU rRNA". It matches the Rfam family "Bacterial small subunit ribosomal RNA", at positions 28 to 526 of the family's 1533-position model. The record is from RNAcentral.
GACGAACGCUGGCGGCGUGCCUAAUACAUGCAAGUCGAGCGAACAGAUGAGGAGCUUGCUCCUCUGAAGUUAGCGGCGGACGGGUGAGUAACACGUGGGUAACCUGCCCUAAAGUGGGGGAUAACAUUUGGAAACAGAUGCUAAUACCGCAUAAACCUCAAAAGCACAUGCUUUUGAGUUGAAAGAUGGCGUAAGCUAUCGCUUUUGGAUGGACCCGCGGCGUAUUAGCUAGUUGGUGAGGUAAAGGCUCACCAAGGCUGUGAUACGUAGCCGACCUGAGAGGGUAAUCGGCCACAUUGGGACUGAGACACGGCCCAAACUCCUACGGGAGGCAGCAGUAGGGAAUCUUCCACAAUGGACGAAAGUCUGAUGGAGCAACGCCGCGUGAGUGAAGAAGGUUUUCGGAUCGUAAAACUCUGUUGUUGGAGAAGAACGUACGUGAGAGUAACUGUUCACGUAGUGACGGUAUCCAACCAGAAAGCCACGGCUAACUACGUGCCAGCCGCCGCAGUAAGAC